ACGCCGCGUGAGCGAUGAAGGCCCUUCAGGUCGUAAAGUUCUGUCCUCAAGGAAGAUAAAUGACGGUACUUGAGGAGGAAGCCCCAGGCUAAGUACGUGCCAGCAGCCGCGGUAAAUACGUAGGGGGCUAGCGUUAUCCGGAAUUACUGGGCGUAAAGGGUGCGUAGGUGGUUUUUUAAGUCAGAAGUGANAAGGCUACGGCUCAACCGUAGUAAGCUUUUGAAACUAGAGAACUUGAGUGCAGGAGAGGAGAGUAGAAUUCCUAGUGUAGCGGUGAAAUGCGUAGAUAUUAGGAGGAAUACCAGUAGCGAAGGCGGCUCUCUUNACUGUAACUGACACUGAGGCACGAAAGCGUGGGGAGCAAACAGGAUUA
Molecule: ribosomal RNA, 373 nt
Filed under: uncultured Clostridium sp.
Lineage: Bacteria; Bacillati; Bacillota; Clostridia; Eubacteriales; Clostridiaceae
Description: bacterial SSU rRNA
Rfam family: Bacterial small subunit ribosomal RNA
Source: RNAcentral